CAAAGGCACAUGCUCUCUAGCGAUGAAAAAAAGAAAAGAAGAAAGAAGACGAAGCAUUUGAAAGUAAGCUGACCGUGAACUUCCUUUGUGACUUAAGAUCGCUGACAUUGAAAACAAAUCAUGAAGAAUACUAAAGCAAGGAAUACGCGAGCACAGGUGCCCUGUAGCAACAAUGUCUCUUAAAAAAACCCAAAUCAAAAAGGAUGCGCAGCUUUGCAUGAAGUGAGAUCCUGCUCGAAUAGAAGACAGUUGGCCGCACAUUUCUCAAAGGCUUGUCAACUCUGAGACUUUGAACGGAAGGAGGUAGUGACCACCCCCCCCCCCAUAGGAAAACACUUCUCCUCCCCAGAAACCAGGCGGCACCUCUCCAUCCGAACGCCUCUGAGUUUAUCUGAUCAGAGGCUGGAAGUCCCCGGGGCAGAAAGGUUCCAUCUCAGCAUUCCCACAAGCCCCGGGAGUGCAUUCUUCCAAAAGGAAACUGCCCGAGGAGGGAAACGGAGCGGAGCGUACGGAAUUGACGAGACACGGUCUUACGUUCCCUACCCGAUAGCGCUCACCACUUCAUAAUCCGAACCGGCAAUGCCCAUGGAUAGACCGUUCACGUAAGCCCUCACAUUUACCUGUUCCUUUCCUACCCUUCAAUGCUCCACUGAGUGAGUAUUAAAAGCACAUGGUAACGCAAAGAAAAAAAUAACACUGUGUAUCUUAUAAAAAAAAAAAUGAUGACCAGAAACAUAAAAAUUAAAAAAAAAAAAGAGUGGGUUUUCUAUUAAUACAAGCC
Molecule: long non-coding RNA, 781 nt
Organism: Tupaia belangeri chinensis (Chinese tree shrew)
Lineage: Eukaryota; Metazoa; Chordata; Mammalia; Scandentia; Tupaiidae
Exons: 3
Source: RefSeq, a predicted model, not a curated record